CGGGAUUAGAGUUUGAUCAUGGCUCAGAACGAACGCUGGCGGCAGGCUUAACACAUGCAAGUCGAGCGCAUCCUUCGGGGUGAGCGGCAGACGGGUGAGUAACGCGUGGGGAUGUGCCUUGAGGUGGGGAAUAACUGUGGGAAACUACAGCUAAUACCGCAUAAGCCCUUCGGGGGAAAGAUUUAUCGCCUUUAGAGCAACCCGCGUCAGAUUAGCUAGUUGGUAGGGUAAUGGCCUACCAAGGCGACGAUCUGUAGCUGGUCUGAGAGGAUGACCAGCCACACUGGGACUGAGACACGGCCCAGACUCCUACGGGAGGCAGCAGUGGGGAAUAUUGGACAAUGGGCGCAAGCCUGAUCCAGCCAUGCCGCGUGAGUGAUGACGGCCUUAGGGUUGUAAAGCUCUUUUAACAGGGACGAUAAUGACGGUACCUGUAGAAUAAGCCCCGGCAAACUUCGUGCCAGCAGCCGCGGUAAUUC
This 479-nucleotide ribosomal RNA is filed under the name uncultured Labrys sp. RNAcentral's name for it is "bacterial SSU rRNA". It matches the Rfam family "Bacterial small subunit ribosomal RNA", at positions 1 to 526 of the family's 1533-position model. Lineage: Bacteria; Pseudomonadati; Pseudomonadota; Alphaproteobacteria; Hyphomicrobiales; Xanthobacteraceae. The record is from RNAcentral.